UACAGCCUGCUCAAUGUUAAUAUAAAUAGCCGCAGAUUUUCUGUGCCAAGGUAGCAUAAUCACUAGCCUCAUAACUAGAGGAUAGUAUGAAUGGCUUAACGAGAUAAAGACUGUCUCAUCACGACAAAGUAAACCUAACAUAAUAGUCAAAAGGCUAUUAUAACAAAAAGCUAGACGACAAGACCCUGACAAACUCAUAUAAAUUAGCUGGGGCGGCGACACAAAAACACCUUAAACCAAUCAAACAAACAAAACCAACAUAGUUGACUUAGAUAAAGUUACUGCAGGGAUAACAGCGCUACUUCUCUCAAGAGCCCUAAUCCAAAGAGAAACCUACGACCUCGAUGUUGAAUUAAUUAACCUAUUUUGUGCAAAAACUAAAUAAGGCAGUCUGUUCGACUAACAAAAAAUU
RNAcentral lists this ribosomal RNA (412 nucleotides) under Nita elsaff. RNAcentral describes it as "partial 16S ribosomal RNA". It matches the Rfam family "Bacterial large subunit ribosomal RNA", at positions 1853 to 2597 of the family's 2925-position model. The record is from RNAcentral. Lineage: Eukaryota; Metazoa; Arthropoda; Arachnida; Araneae; Pholcidae.